Molecule: long non-coding RNA, 127 nt
Organism: Austrofundulus limnaeus
Lineage: Eukaryota; Metazoa; Chordata; Actinopteri; Cyprinodontiformes; Rivulidae
Exons: 3
Source: RefSeq, a predicted model, not a curated record
GUCAAAUUUAUGUGAUCUAGGGACAUCUAACAGGAACUGGUUGGUAGACCUGAGUGCUCUGACUGGAGUGUAGAUGUUAAGAAGAUCACAUAAAUAUGAUGGGGCCAGACCAUUAAAAACUUUAAAA